UUUAUAUACUCUAAUUCUAUCUGAAAAAUCUGGAAUAGUAGGGAGUAAAUUACAAAGCCAUGUCGUUCUCUCCUGAUGCUAGGGAGAGACUGCUAAUAAUAGAGACUAUUCCUCGUUCUCUCCUGAACAAGUAUCAGCUUCAAGGAAAUAACGAAGAAGUUGGGCACUUUUGUUUGUCCUUGGACGCUAAGAUGGAAUUGAUCAAUGAAUUUUGCCAAAUUGGUAAUGAAAUUUCAUUCUUCACUCAUCGAAUCAAUUCUCAAUUCAUUCACUGGAAGGGAAGGGGAAGACUGACAGAAACUAAUUAAAACCCCAUAAUUUCAACCUGUGUUAUGCAGUGGCCAGCACAAGUGGAGGAGGCGGCGGCAGGAAUGCUCCAACAGAGCAUUAGAUAUGGCGAUCGAUAAUGGGAAGAGAAGAGAGACGUUUGAGUUUUGUCCAUCAAUUUUAUAGUUGACCCAUUUUUGAGAUUUUACCCGUAAAAGACCCGCGUAUUGACCCGAUUUAAGAGUUCAAGCGUGGAGUUGGAAUUGGAAUUCUUUGGUCCAGCCAAAG
RNAcentral lists this long non-coding RNA (555 nucleotides) under Coffea arabica (coffee). RNAcentral's name for it is "long non-coding RNA (CARA_LNC000153)". Lineage: Eukaryota; Viridiplantae; Streptophyta; Magnoliopsida; Gentianales; Rubiaceae. The record is from RNAcentral.